UAAUGAUGAUGAUGAUGGCGAUGAUGAUUGAGAUGAUGAUGAUGGAGAUGGGAGAUGAUGAUCACCAUCACCAUCACCAUCACCAUCAGAAGAU
This 94-nucleotide microRNA precursor is filed under the name Guillardia theta CCMP2712. RNAcentral describes it as "microRNA mir-598". Lineage: Eukaryota; Cryptophyceae; Pyrenomonadales; Geminigeraceae. The record is from RNAcentral.